Long non-coding RNA from Rhodamnia argentea, 4839 nucleotides. RefSeq lists it as uncharacterized. Lineage: Eukaryota; Viridiplantae; Streptophyta; Magnoliopsida; Myrtales; Myrtaceae. The transcript is spliced from 2 exons. The record is from RefSeq and is a predicted model, not a curated record.
UAAAGUAUAUUGGGCCUAGAGGAGCUUAUGAAUAAAGGUACGAAGUGUCUUUCUUCACUAUCUGGCUAUCGAGAAGCAAAACGUCAAAUAUUGAAUAUUUACUAAAUUAAAAUAAUAAAUGAAUAAUAUAUAUGAGUUCAUAUCUUAAUAGACCCUUAAUUACUUAAUUAAUUUAAUUAAUAUGAUUUACCAUAUUAUACAUAUUCUAACUAGUAUAAGUAAUUCUAAGUAAUAAUCGAAGCUAGUAAAAUCAAAGGUAAGCGUAUCUAGCUCCAUUCCUUCUACAACAAGCGAGUCAGGGGAAGUUUAUCUAGCUGCUUUGGGAUAAGCAGGAGAUUCAUCUAGCAGCUUUGAUAGAAGCAGGGUAAAAUGCUAAGUCAAGGAGAAAUGCAGCAAUCUAUCCAAUCGAGUUAAGAGGAAUGCAAUUGAAGUUCUUUUAUAAGCCCCGGCCAGCUAGUGGAAAAUAUGUCUAGUCUGUCUAUCCCAAGUUUCCCGAGCCAAACGAUCUCUCCGAUCCAACAAGCGAAUAGGGUCUAGCCGAGCGAGUUCGAGUGAGAAACUAAGUCUCUCCAGUUGGAGUAGUGGAUUCGUCACAGGCCUCUUUCUUUUACUUUGAGUGCUGAGACAAAGACCUCUCUCCAAGAUCGUAUAAGACGAGAGCCCCUCCCCUUAGUUUGAGUUAUAGUCCUCGCUCUUUCGUAGGCUUUUUUUGAUUUAUUGAACCUCUUAGACCAUUCAUGGGCGUGAACCUACCUUCAAAGGCGAAGAAUUGGGCUCAACUCCAAUCCAAUAGUCUAAGACCGAUCCGAUCAAAUGGUGAAGGCUCCGUCACCAGUCGGUGAAUUGAGUGGUCUCCUCUUUUCUGACUGACCCGGACUCUUUGUCUUCCUCUGAUCUGGGCCUGAUCAAGGAUCCCGGAACGAAAAUUCCCAGUGUUCCUUAUUUUAUUUGUGAAAAAAUGAACAAAGAGUUUUUCAUCAUAAUGUAGUAUAAGCAAAUGGAUAGGGCGAUGAGUUAACCUCUUUCUUUCUGAGAGCUUUUUCCUUUCGCCCAAGCUUUCUUUCAUAGCUUGAUGUGAAGCUUCAGGGAACUAGUCAAAUGGAUUCGAUUAGUACCCACUCGUAGUCAUAGUUGCUUAUCUUAGUCAUCUUAGACAGCUCGGCAAGCACUAGCCCUUAUAUAUGUGUGUGAAGAGGGUCUCUCAGUUAAGCCAUCUAGUGUGCGUGAACCACUCAUUCCGUACAUCUCUCCACUCCGAAACACUUCUCUGUACGGAAGAAGCCUUAUGGAUCGGAUCGGGCGGAUAGAGAUUCCUACUUUGAACCUUCCGCACUCCGUAUUGGAAGACUUGAACAAGGCCCUCGCUUAGUUAGUUCGGUGAGGGAAGCUCGUCUGUCUUAGUUCCUGAUCGGUACACUGAACAUCGGUAGUUCUUCUUGUCUGUAGCUCUUCUGUUCCAACAUUCUUCUCCCUGUCUCAAUUAUCACUUUAGCACUGUAGAACCUCCCUUCCUUACUUAGACUGAGACAAAAAUGCUUUCGCGCAUAAGAGUCCUUCGCUAACUAUUACAGUGGAUCCCGCGUGCGCUAUUUGGAAACCCUUGUUGGAGCCCUUUCUGCCGGAGGAGAUGGGGAAAGACGAGAUCAGAGUCCGAUACCGCAGAAGCUAUGACUGCCGAGACCGGUAGCUUUCUCUCAUUCGCCAGACUAGCCAGUGGAAGUCCAGUUCGGUGGUAGUCUGUCCACGGUUUCUUAAGUGCAGACAGUGAUCCUCGUCAUCCAGUUGCAAGCCAGCCCUGUGCCCUAACUUAUUGGAUUGCGUACAUCCCCUUUCUUUUUCUGUCUCGAAAGGAAAGCCUGUGGCCAGGAGUAUAGUCUUGGACCGGGACGGAUUUAGCGACAGUCCCAGUUCUAGUUCAAGUUGGUCAGAUCCUCUUGGCAGGGAAGAAUCCAGUAGUGCAAUUGACUCGCAAGCAUCGCAUCGUACUAUGGUUCGAUGAUCGAGUGAAAUAGACUAUCAAUCCUCUCCCGACGGUCUCUCGCCCCAAUCACCUUCAAUAGCUCCAAUGGUCAUCAAUGGUAUUCAAAACGUGUCUUUGUCUCAUUCAAAUGGGAGUGGAGUUCACCUUUCCAGGUGUUCCGAUAUCAAGGUUGAAAGCGCUUUUCAACAUGAAUAAGAGAAUGCCUUAGUUCGACUCCCUUGAGAGAAGUUUCCUUCUAUGUUCUCUAUUCUAGAAAACUAGCUCUAGCAUCUAUUCUCUUAUAUAACCAAUCGAGAUCUUAUAUAAGAGAAAAUGAAGAAACUCUACUCUCUUCUAGCUGUGAGAUAGGCAAUAGAUUCUAUUUAGGAUAUGCCAGUAUGCAGUUAGGGACUUCCAUCAAGGCAGGUGCACGAGUGACUGUGCAGAGAGCUUUCCUUAUUUAGCUCCUAUCCUAGCAGUCAAAGUACCAGCAUGAUUGGGAGACAGCCAAAGCAGCACUCUCUCCCAUGUCAGCUGUGUUUGAUCUGGUAUUCCGGUUACUCUUUUGACUCAACACACAUCUCUAUCUCAAUCUAUCUCGCAUCGAACAAGCAGCCCCUCUGCACAGAGAAACUGCCUCAUAAUGCCGGUACUGGAUCCGCCCGGACAGUCUAGGUCAAUGCUAGCUGUACGGUUGCUUAUUCCAGGUCUCUUUCAUCCACUUUCCAAUGGGUGUCCAAUUAGAAUAAAAAAAAGCUUUCCUUAGCUAAGACUGAUUGAUUCACCGCAGCUUAUCUGACUAGUCUAACUAGCAGAUUGAACUAGCAACAUCACAUCAUAUAGAAUGAAGAUGGACAGGCAUGUCAGAAGCAAGAUGUCCACUAAUCUAGGACAGGUACUGGCUGUUACUGCUUUUUUCCAUGCACCAGUCCAAGCAUUGAAUACCCGAAAAAGGAGAUUCAAUUAGCAAGCUAUGCACUUGCCUUGCUCUCUCUUGUAUGCUUGGGCUUAGUGUUAGACGUUAGACCUAUCCUAUCAUUGGUACUUGUCUAUUACUUUGACUGCUUGCCUUUCUAUAGAAAUCUAAUUGUCUAGCUCUGGUUGCAGGUAUUCACUUGUCUUUGCCUUUCUAUGCCGCUUUUCAAUCCUUGCAUGGCCUAGCUCUCUUUACUUGAUAACUGCCCGGUAGACUGAUCUAAUCGAUAGACUUGUUGAUCUGGGAAUGAGUUCUGGGUUUCCUUAGCGGAGGCAGUCAUCUGCAAUUAUUUUACUUCUAUUAACUAGCGAGACUGGGUGGGAGGAUGUCAAAGCACAUUCUCUCUUUCUUCCAUGCACUAAUCUAUGCCAUAUGAGCUUUCCCUAUUGAUUGACUCCUUUACAUACUUCUUUGACCGACAAACUCUCACCCAAAGAGCAUUUGGUUUCAAGAGGAUCCCCCAUCCCAGCUUCAUAAGCAAGGCCGCCUCAUUGGUCUGUCUCAACUUUAGAAGACCGAAUCCCCCAUUACACUUCGGUUGACACACCGUCUCCCAUUUGACCCAUUUUGAACAUCUCGGGGGCCCGUAAAUACCUUUGGCUCUGGCACCAACAUCCGAACCAUCUCUGUCGAACCAUUGCUUACACUUUAGUAUGGUGACCUCGUCCGUCAGGCCACUAAUAUGUGCCCGUAGCACUUCCACAACUCCCUUGCCUUGCUAUCCUGCCUAUCUUUCUCCAGAGAAGUCUCGCUCGAAAUCUCUCCCUUCAGUUGUGUAACAAGGCGAUCCACACGAUAACGAGUCCGCUCCCGUCGAGCCUCUUCGACGGCACUAGCCCCGGUACAGUACACUAAGAGAUAGGGUGGCCUCGCAAGGCAAGGGGACACCUUGGCAUGUCUAUAUAUAUUCUAAGAUUGAUACAUGAUCUCUUAGGGAGGUCAGGGCCGUGACUCAACUUCCGUAGCUCCUUGUCAGGAAAUGGGUCCCUGACUUCGAAGAUUCCCCAAUGAUCGGGAGGAUUUCCUUUCCCUGACACAACGAUCUACCCCCAGCCGGACGGAACGACGUUACGCAGUCUUCAGUUUUGGGGUUUCGUCCUCCUUUGUCACUGCUGCUCGCGAAAUCAAGACUACUUGCUCUCUUUCUUUUCUUAAUGAACCCGGCGGCGCUCUAGAUUGAAUCUGUCUUGGCACUGUUGGGCUUGAAGCGAAGAUGGAUUGGGAGCUCUCUCCCAGGAGGUAACACACCGGCCAGAAGACUUUCUCUAGCUAAGUAGAGGAUUUAGAUACCUCCUGGAACUGCUCGUUCUUUCCCUGUGAUCUAAUAUUCAAUGCAGCGGGUAAAGCUCCCGCUCAUUGAAAAUAGAAAGCAGCUGAUUCAGUAGCAUCAGCUACUGCAGAAGAUCGAUUUCAUCAUUAUGUGAAUAAGCGGGCUUUUUGGUAUGUAAAAAAAAAAGGGUCCACUACAGGAACGGAAGUGAAAAGAUCUUAAGAAGGAACGGAAUAAUCUAAUCGACCUCCAAAGAAAGAGGCAGCAAUGCUCAAGGGACAAUUAGCUCAAUUGCAGAAAGAUCUAGGUGGGAUUAAAGAAAUGAAAAGUGAACCUGUGAAAUACAAUAGUUGCCAAUCAACAUGAGGAAUCUACUGGGAUAACAUAACACUUUGGCCGACAGCUGUCUUGAUACGGAUCCGUACAAUGGCCCAAUUCAAGUCAGAUGCUAGAGCUUCAAUCCGAUCGAUCUCGAUUGACGUCAGCAAUUCGCGAAGGUCAUUAUAGCCAUUGGUUGAUCAAACAAAAGUGAAUGACUCGUUCGUUAGGGACCUGGAGAUUGACUGAGUUGGCCGGGUCUCCUAAGAGCAGAUUGAUUAGGUCGGCUACUCUUCCCAGAUCUCAGAGAAUGGA